RNAcentral lists this ribosomal RNA (461 nucleotides) under uncultured bacterium. Its description in RNAcentral is "bacterial SSU rRNA". It matches the Rfam family "Bacterial small subunit ribosomal RNA", at positions 1 to 488 of the family's 1533-position model. The record is from RNAcentral.
GAUUAGAGUUUGAUCAUGGCUCAGGACGAACGCUGGCGGCGUGCUUAACACAUGCAAGUUGAACGGGGCAUAUUUGAAGGGUAACCGGAGGGUAUGUCUAGUGGCGAACGGGUGAGUAAUGCAUGAGAACGUAUCCUCAAGAGGGGGACAACAUUGGGAAACCGAUGCUAAUACCCCAUAAGCCGGGAGGUAAAAGGAGCAAUCCGCUUGAGGAGCGGUUCAUGUCCUAUCAGCUGGUUGGUGAGGUAACGGCUCACCAAGGCGAAGACGGGUAGCCGGCCUGAGAGGGUGAACGGCCACACUGGAACUGAGAGACGGUCCAGACUCCUACGGGAGGCAGCAGUGGGGAAUAUUGGGCAAUGGGGGAAACCCUGACCCAGCGACGCCGCGUGAGGGAAGAAGGCCUUAGGGUCGUAAACCUCUGUUGUGUGGGAAGAAGAGCGUGACGGACCACACGAGAA